Molecule: ribosomal RNA, 120 nt
Filed under: Candidatus Thalassarchaeaceae archaeon
Lineage: Archaea; Methanobacteriati; Thermoplasmatota; Candidatus Poseidoniia; Candidatus Poseidoniales; Candidatus Thalassarchaeaceae
Also listed under: 1 other name
Source: RNAcentral
GUGCACGGCCACAGCGGAGGGGUCUACCUGGUCCCAUUCCGAACCCAGAAGUCAAGCCCUCCUGCGUCUUUACCUGUACUGUGGUACGAGAGUCCACGGGAAAGUGAGUCGCUGUGCCUC